GAUGAACGCUGGCGGCGUGCCUAAUACAUGCAAGUCGAGCGGCAGCGCGAGUAGUUUACUACUUGGCGGCGAGCGGCGGACGGCAGAGUAACGCGUAGGAAUGUACCCCAAAGUGAGGGAUAACUGCUCGAAAGAGUAGCUAAUACCGCAUGUGCUCUUCGGAGUAAAGCUUUAUGCGCUUUGGGAACAGCCUGCGUUCCAUUAGCUAGUUGGUGAGGUAACUGCUCACCAAGGCGACGAUGGAUAGCUGGUCUGAGAGGAUGAUCAGCCUGACUGGGACUGAGACACGGCCCAGACUCCUACGGGAGGCAGCAGUAGGGAAUUUUCCACAAUGGGCGAAAGCCUGAUGGAGCAACGCCGCGUGCAGGAUGAAUGCCUUCGGGUUGUAAACUGCUUUUAUAAGUGAAGAAUAUGACGGUAACUUAUGAAUAAGGAUCGGCUAACUCCGUGCCAGCAGCCGCGGUCAUACGGAGGAUCCAAGCGUUAUCCGGAAUUACUGGGCGUAAAGAGUUGCGUAGGUGGCAUAGUAAGUAGGUAGUGAAAGCGUUCGGCUCAACCGAAUAACCAUUAUCUAAACUGCUAAGCUUGAGAACGAGAGAGGUAGAUGGAAUUUCCAGUGUAGGAGUGAAAUCCGUAGAUAUUGGAAGGAACACCGAUGGCGUAGGCAGUCUACUGGCUCGUUUCUGACACUAAGGCACGAAAGCGUGGGGAGCAAACGGGAUUAGAUACCCCGGUAGUCCACGCCGUAAACUAUGGAUGCUAGCUGUUAUAGGUAUCGACCCCUGUAGUAGCGAAGCUAACGCGUUAAGCAUCCCGCCUGUGGAGUACGGUCGCAAGACUAAAACAUAAAGGAAUUGACGGGGACCCGCACAAGCGGUGGAGCGUGUUGUUUAAUUCGAUGGUAAGCGAAGAACCUUACCCAGGCUUGACAUCCUUGGAAGGCCUCCGAAAGGAGACUGUGUCUUCGGAAACCAAGUGACAGGUGAUGCAUGGCCGUCGUCAGCUCGUGUCGUGAGAUGUUUGGUUAAGUCCAUCAACGAGCGCAACCCUUAUGAAUAGUUGUAUUUUUCUAUUCAGACUGCCCUGGCAACAGGGAGGAAGGGGGGGAUGAUGUCAGGUCAGUAUUUCCCUUACGUCUGGGGCUACAAACACGCUACAAUGGCCGGUACAAAGGGCAGCCAACCCGCGAGGGGGAGCAAAUCCCAUCAAAGCCGGUCUCAGUUCGGAUAGCAGGCUGAAACUCGCCUGCUUGAAGUCGGAAUCGCUAGUAAUGGUAGGUCAGCACACUACCGUGAAUACGUUCCCGGGUCUUGCACUCA
This 1319-nucleotide ribosomal RNA is filed under the name uncultured bacterium. RNAcentral's name for it is "bacterial SSU rRNA". It matches the Rfam family "Bacterial small subunit ribosomal RNA", at positions 28 to 1389 of the family's 1533-position model. The record is from RNAcentral.